UAAGUCUUGAAGCUUGUUUCUGUCUUUAUUCUUUUAGGAAAAGUUCCAUAUCAUUUUACUUUUAUAAUAUCAAAUUUCAAAAGUCCUUUUGGUUAUGGCAAGUUUAGAAAUAAUGAGUCUCCAAUAUCCCUUCAGAAGACUAUAACACACUGCUGUAAUAAUGGAAGGCCUUAUGAGUGAGGACACUUGGAGGCAAUAUCAUGCAACAGGUGAAUUGACUGAUGAAUUUGGGUUUACACGACUGAAGGAUACUGUUAUAGAUGAAAAGUGUGAAAAUGUGUGAAGUUUGGAGAAGCACUCUGAGAUUUUCUUCUAAAAGAAAAAGAAGAGAAGAAACAAUCCAGAAAUGUAUGUGUAUGUUAUGGACAUCUGAAGAACUGUUUGUUCUGUUACUAUGUUUCAUCCCUCAAUUGUUGUGUACAAGUGGACUCCUAAAGAAGAGUUUGUACUGUGCAUAUGGUCUCCAAGUAGCAGAGGGAGAGGGAACCACAGAAUUUUAACUGUGAUUGGGAUGUAUUGUUUGGGAG
RNAcentral lists this long non-coding RNA (527 nucleotides) under Cricetulus griseus (Chinese hamster). RNAcentral's name for it is "lncRNA (ENSCGRG00015015537.2)". The record is from RNAcentral. Lineage: Eukaryota; Metazoa; Chordata; Mammalia; Rodentia; Cricetidae.